This 61-nucleotide transfer RNA is filed under the name Amblyomma gervaisi. RNAcentral's name for it is "tRNA-His". Lineage: Eukaryota; Metazoa; Arthropoda; Arachnida; Ixodida; Ixodidae. The record is from RNAcentral.
AUUUAAUUAGUUUAUAAAAAAUAAUAAUUUGUGGAAUUAUUGAAGAAGUUUUCAUUAAAUA